Molecule: non-coding RNA, 111 nt
Organism: Acanthosepion pharaonis
Lineage: Eukaryota; Metazoa; Mollusca; Cephalopoda; Sepiida; Sepiidae
Source: the annotation of a GenBank genome assembly
ACAGCCAUAUCACAUCGAAAUACCAGUUCCCAUAUAAUCAUUGAAGUUAAGCAAUGACGAGCCUGGUCAGUACCUAGAUGCGUGACCGCUUGGGAAUAUCAGGUGCUGUAA